This 253-nucleotide ribosomal RNA is filed under the name uncultured bacterium. RNAcentral describes it as "partial 16S ribosomal RNA". It matches the Rfam family "Bacterial small subunit ribosomal RNA", at positions 524 to 776 of the family's 1533-position model. The record is from RNAcentral.
UACGUAGGGUGCAAGCGUUGUCCGGAAUUAUUGGGCGUAAAGAGCUCGUAGGCGGUCUGUCGCGUCGGAUGUGAAAAUCCAGGGCUCAACCCUGGACCUGCGUUCGAUACGGGCAGACUAGAGUUCGGCAGGGGAGACUGGAAUUCCUGGUGUAGCGGUGAAAUGCGCAGAUAUCAGGAGGAACACCGGUGGCGAAGGCGGGUCUCUGGGCCGAUACUGACGCUGAGGAGCGAAAGCGUGGGGAGCGAACAGG